CGGUGCUAUGCAGUCGGAGAUUUUGCACUGAGAAGUUUGAAAACAGCUGCCUUCUGCUGCUAGAAACAGGGUUGAUGGGUUUGUGGACAGGCAUUGGGGCAGAAGCAAGACAUCACAGACUGAAAAAUCAACAUGACAGGUAUUGUGAAAGUCAACGUCCUGCAGCUCUCUGCCUUUAUACUCCGUUAUUUUUAACCAGCUGGGCUUACGCAAAACAAAUUCCGGUUCUGUCUACGAGCCAAGUGGAAAUGGACACUGUUUCCUGAGGAAAAACUAGACACUCGCUUCCUCUACUUGUGCUCUGCAGCCACCUUCAGCUGAGGAUACAGACACGGAGCAGGAAAACGAUCACAUUUCUAUAAUAUUAUUUUAGAAAAAUGUUGUAGGUGUAUACUUUUGUUUAUAAUGAAUCUAUUGUACUACUGCACCUUUUACUGUGCAAAAAAAAUA
This is a non-coding RNA of Epinephelus lanceolatus (giant grouper), 450 nucleotides long. NCBI's taxonomy places the organism in Eukaryota, Metazoa, Chordata, Actinopteri, Perciformes, Serranidae. The record is from RefSeq and is a predicted model, not a curated record.